This is a long non-coding RNA of Podarcis raffonei (Aeolian wall lizard), 1148 nucleotides long. RefSeq lists it as uncharacterized. NCBI's taxonomy places the organism in Eukaryota, Metazoa, Chordata, Lepidosauria, Squamata, Lacertidae. The record is from RefSeq and is a predicted model, not a curated record. The transcript is spliced from 5 exons.
UGCUGUACCAUGGGACUGAGAUAAGGAAGAGAAGCAGUAAAGAUAUAAUGAGGUGGGCCUGUGCUUUUAAGACAGGCCUGCUUUUCCAAGACAAAAUCCAAUUCUGGCUAAAUUCCACAGGGAGAGAGAUCUUAAUGGGCUUGAGUGAGCAGGAAAUUAGACAGAAAGUGAGAUUGGAGCCAGCAGAACUUAGAGCAAGCGAAGAGCAACAGCCACAAAAAUCUGCUGGAGUAGCAACGAACAAAGGACUGGCCUGUUCCCAAUCAUGAUAGAAGCCAGCCCUGGAUGCAUGAACCUUUUCAACUACUGUAGGAAUACGAACCCCUGUCUCUCUUUUCCCCGUCCCCUAGAUAAACAUUUUAUCCAGCGGUACCAAUUAUGCACCCCAGAAAUGCUUCUUUCAAAGAAACGCCCAUUGUUUGAAACCCGCUAAAACGUUUACACAGCUUCUACAAUAUGUAUGUCCAGGCUUUGACUCGAAUGCAGUUGUGAAGGAGAGGAAGUUUCUGAUUUAGAGAGCAGCCAUUGGGAAUGUUUAUCAGUGUGUGUCUUUUGUAGGCACUUGGGAUUCCAACUCAUUCUCAGAACUCUAAAACCAUGAGCGGUGAAGAGGAAAAACACCCUUUUCUCUAGGAUAGAUGGUGGCUCACACUUCAUCACAGGAAAUUCCAGGGCGAUGGAGGCAGGCCAUUAUAAAGCUUGGCUACCCGGUCCCAAAAUUCUAGACUCAGCAGUGCCCUGGAAAAUGCUGGGAAAUAACUGGGGAAUACCAGUUAAACCUGAAGUCCCACGUGCAUGGGGAAGUACAAAGAAGAAAUGGCUGCCUGCCUGAAUUCAAGUAACCAUGCAGGGCUUGACUCACUCUUCAGCCAAAACAGCCCCCAGCUGAGUGUAAAACACAGAUCUAUGCCGCAAGGCACGGGGAAUAAAGAUUGUUAGACCUUUAAUGUCCCAGUGUUAAGCGCUUAAAAUGCUGCUUCCCCCGCCUUUACUCCUCUCAAAUAGAUCACAAACUUAAGUAAGUUUAAAUGCUUUACUUACAGUAGCCAUAGGCACCUCACUCUUGUAUCGUUCAAUGCUUACAGCAGAAACAACGCAGGCAAGGUACUCUUGGUUACAAAAUACAGAGGUUGGUCUCAGACACGUGG